RNAcentral lists this ribosomal RNA (253 nucleotides) under uncultured bacterium. RNAcentral's name for it is "partial 16S ribosomal RNA". It matches the Rfam family "Bacterial small subunit ribosomal RNA", at positions 524 to 776 of the family's 1533-position model. The record is from RNAcentral.
UACAGAGACUGCAAGCGUUAUUCGGAUUCACUGGGCGUAAAGGGUGCGCAGGCGGCCAAGUGUGUGAGGCGUGAAAGCCCGGGGCUUAACCCCGGAAUUGCACCUCAAACUACAUGGCUAGAGCAUUGGAGAGGGUAGCGGAAUUCACGGUGUAGCAGUGAAAUGCGUAGAUAUCGUGAGGAACACCAGAGGCGAAGGCGGCAUCCUGGACCGACAUUGACGCUGAGGAGCGAAAGCUAGGGGAGCAAACGGG